Molecule: ribosomal RNA, 253 nt
Filed under: uncultured bacterium
Lineage: Bacteria
Description: partial 16S ribosomal RNA
Rfam family: Bacterial small subunit ribosomal RNA
Source: RNAcentral
UACGGAGGAUGCAAGCGUUAUCCGGAAUGAUUGGGCGUAAAGCGUCCGCAGGUGGCUAUGUAAGUCUGCUGUUAAAGAGUGAGGCUCAACCUCAUAAGAGCAGUGGAAACUACAUGGCUAGAGUGCGUUCGGGGCAGAGGGAAUUCCUGGUGUAGCGGUGAAAUGCGUAGAGAUCAGGAAGAACACCGAUGGCGAAAGCGCUCUGCUAGGCCGCAACUGACACUGAGGGACGAAAGCUAGGGGAGCGAAUGGG